This 855-nucleotide ribosomal RNA is filed under the name Halorubrum trapanicum. RNAcentral's name for it is "bacterial SSU rRNA". It matches the Rfam family "Archaeal small subunit ribosomal RNA", at positions 33 to 888 of the family's 1478-position model. Lineage: Archaea; Methanobacteriati; Methanobacteriota; Halobacteria; Halobacteriales; Haloferacaceae. The record is from RNAcentral.
UCGGGGUCCGAUUCAGCCAUGCUAGUUGUACGGGUUUAGACCCGUAGCAAAUAGCUCCGUAACACGUGGUCAAACUACCCUCUGGACCGGAAUACCCUCGGGAAACUGAGGCUAAUUCCGGAUACUGCUUUCAUGUUGGAACACAGAAAGUCGGAAACGGUCCGCCGCCGGAGGACGUGACUGCGGCCGAUUAGGUAGACGGUGGGGUAACGGCCCACCGUGCCGAUAAUCGGUACGGGUUGUGAGAGCAAGAACCCGGAGACGGUAUCUGAGACAAGAUACCGGGCCCUACGGGGCGCAGCAGGCGCGAAACCUUUACACUGCACGCCAGUGCGAUAAGGGGACCCCGAGUGCGAGGGCAUACAGUCCUCGCUUUUCGUGACCGUAAGAAGGUCUCAGAAUAAGAGCUGGGCAAGACCGGUGCCAGCCGCCGCGGUAAUACCGGCAGCUCGAGUGAUAGCCACUAUUAUUGGGCCUAAAGCGUCCGUAGCCGGCCGAACAGGUCCGUCGGGAAAUCCACCUGCUCAACAGGUGGACGUCCGGCGGAAACCAGUCGGCUUGGGGCCGGGAGACCAGAGAGGUACGUCCGGGGUAGGAGUGAAAUCCCGUAAUCCUGGACGGACCGCCGGUAGCGAAAGCGUCUCUGGAGAACGGACCCGACGGUGAGGGACGAAAGCUUGGGUCUCGAACCGGAUUAGAUACCCGGGUAGUCCAAGCUGUAAACGAUGCUCGCUAGGUGUGGCGUUGGCUACGAGCCAGCGCUGUGCCGUAGGGAAGCCGAGAAGCGAGCCGCCUGGGAAGUACGUCCGCAAGGAUGAAACUUAAAGGAAUUGGCGGGGGGAGCACUACAACCGG